UCCCUGGUGGCUCAGAGGUUAAAGCAUCUGCCUGCAAUGUGGGAGACCUAGGUUCGAUCCCUGGGUUGGGAA
RNAcentral lists this transfer RNA (72 nucleotides) under Bos taurus (domestic cattle). It matches the Rfam family "tRNA". Rfam says of the family: Transfer RNA (tRNA) molecules are approximately 80 nucleotides in length. Their secondary structure includes four short double-helical elements and three loops (D, anti-codon, and T loops). RNAcentral also lists the same sequence under 2 other names. Lineage: Eukaryota; Metazoa; Chordata; Mammalia; Artiodactyla; Bovidae. The record is from Rfam by way of RNAcentral.